UUGGAGGGCAAGUCUGGUGCCAGCAGCCGCGGUAAUUCCAGCUCCAAUAGCGUAUAUUAAAGUUGUUGCAGUUAAAAAGCUCGUAGUUGAAUUUCGGGGUCAGCAGGUUGGUCGUGCCAAUGGUAUGCACUGGCCUUGGUGAUUCCUCCCUCUUGUAGAACCGUAAUGCCAUUAAGUUGGUGUUGCGGGGAAACAGGACUGUUACUUUGAAAAAAUUAGAGUGUUUAAAGCAGGCUAACGCCUGAAUACACUAGCAUGGAAUAAUGAAAUAGGACGAUCGAUCCUAUUUUGUUGGUUUCUAGGAUUGACGUAAUGAUUAAUAGGGAUAGUUGGGGGCAUUAGUAUUCAAUUGUCAGAGGUGAAAUUCUUGGAUUUAUUGAAGACUAACUACUGCGAAAGCAUUUGCCAAGGAUGUUUUCAUUAAUCAAGAACGAAAGUUAGGGGAUCGAAGACGAUCAGAUACCGUCGUAGUCUUAACCAUAAACUAUGCCGACUAGGGAUCGGAUGAUGUUAAUUUUUUAAUGACUCAUUCGGCGCCUUACGGGAAAC
Molecule: ribosomal RNA, 549 nt
Filed under: uncultured Glomus
Lineage: Eukaryota; Fungi; Glomeromycota; Glomeromycetes; Glomerales; Glomeraceae
Description: SSU rRNA
Rfam family: Eukaryotic small subunit ribosomal RNA
Source: RNAcentral